GAGGAAUAUUGGACAAUGGGUGAGAGCCUGAUCCAGCCAUCCCGCGUGAAGGACGACGGCCCUAUGGGUUGUAAACUUCUUUUGUAUAGGGAUAAACCUAGAUACGUGUAUCUAGCUGAAGGUACUAUACGAAUAAGCACCGGCUAACUCCGUGCCAGCAGCCGCGGUAAUACGGAGGGUGCAAGCGUUAUCCGGAUUUAUUGGGUUUAAAGGGUCCGUAGGCGGAUGUGUAAGUCAGUGGUGAAAUCUCACAGCUUAACUGUGAAACUGCCAUUGAUACUGCAUGUCUUGAGUGUUGUUGAAGUAGCUGGAAUAAGUAGUGUAGCGGUGAAAUGCAUAGAUAUUACUUAGAACACCAAUUGCGAAGGCAGGUUACUAAGCAACAACUGACGCUGAUGGACGAAAGCGUGGGGAGCGAACA
This 421-nucleotide ribosomal RNA is filed under the name uncultured Chryseobacterium sp. Its description in RNAcentral is "bacterial SSU rRNA". It matches the Rfam family "Bacterial small subunit ribosomal RNA", at positions 356 to 774 of the family's 1533-position model. Lineage: Bacteria; Pseudomonadati; Bacteroidota; Flavobacteriia; Flavobacteriales; Weeksellaceae. The record is from RNAcentral.